Non-coding RNA from Doryrhamphus excisus (bluestripe pipefish), 1297 nucleotides. Lineage: Eukaryota; Metazoa; Chordata; Actinopteri; Syngnathiformes; Syngnathidae. The record is from RefSeq and is a predicted model, not a curated record.
GGUUUUGCUGCGGCUGCGUGUGGCUGCCUCCCGUGCAGGCGCCCAAUUCAGGGCGCAGGCGAACCGCUGAUCCGCUAACAUGGAUACGUCGUGAAGAUUAACUUCAAAUCUGUCAGUGUGGUCGACCUCGACAACGUCUUUGCUUCGGAAAUGAAACAGUUGAUUGACACGCGCCAAUUUUCCUGUCAGACACCUACUGAUGAGACAUGGAAGAAUCGUCACUAUCUUCUCACCGUGUUAUUUGGCGACAUCUAACGCUUCUCCAGAUCCGGAACCAGUCUGGUUCCGUCUUCCAGCGUCUUGAGAAACUCCACCUGGAACUCCACCAUUUCUGGCAGAUUCCCGAAGAGAACAUCCAACUGGAAGAAAAACGAAGAGUGAGGUUUGAUAUCGACUAUUUAUUAUCUAUUUACCGUGGGUGUCGGUCAAAGUUAACACGGUAGUAUUUUGCUGCAACACACAUGUAAAGCGUCUUUCCGUGGGCAUACCGUGUCACUCCAUUGCUGCAGAAAUCCUUCUUUAUGGACUCCAGUUAGCAACCUUUAUUGACCUACUCAUUUCUAGUGGCUUUUCGUACAAGUUUUAGAUAGUAUGAAGCAGAUGGUGCACACAAAUGUCCAAGUAGCACAUGCAGGUGUUAAAAAUUUUUUUUUUUAAAAAAACAUUCCAUCCUCCUCAUCAUUCAGCACUCUUGUCCUCACACAAAGCCAUCCAUCCUGUGAUUAUGUAACCCACUUUUACAAGCUCCAGCAUCAGCACUGCAGAGCCGCACACACACACACACACACACACACACACAGAGUAUGUAUUUGACUUACCUCAUCCUGAGUCAGAAAUGUCUCUUUCUGCAGCGGACUGAGAUAUCUCCCAAUCAGGCAGUUGAGGUCCUGCAAAAAAGUGUUGGGUCAGUGCAUUUACAUCAUGAAUUUUGCCCCUCUGACCUUGUAGACAGCCAAUAAAGCCACCUUUUAUUUGUGGUUUUGUUUAAAGAUAAUAUUCAACUAAAUCCGACCCAUUGGUGUUGUAAAUAUUAUAUAAAAGUAGAAGGGAUUAAAAGACAAUAGCUAUUAUUCCUAUUAUUUGCUUCAUUCUGUUAAGAUUCAGUGUUGCCGACAGGGCUGCGAUCUAUUUGUGGCAGUUGUGUGUCAGACGUAAUGGUCAAAUUUGCAUAAUUGUAUGUGAGAGGAAAGAAAAAGAGGCUAAAUAAUGUGGAAAAACAAAACAAUUAUGUUUAUAACUUCAGAGCUUUCUUCUUUCGCUUCCUUGUCUUUUUUAUGUCAUAAACAAGACAGAGCUA